UACGUAGGUGGCAAGCGUUGUUCGGAAUUAUUGGGCGUAAAGGGCGCGUAGGCGGCUUGUUAAGUCGGCUGUGAAAGCCCGGGGCUCAACCCCGGAGGGUCAGCCGAUACUGGCAGGCUAGAGUACGGAAGAGGUAGCUGGAAUUCCCGGUGUAGCGGUGAAAUGCGUAGAUAUGACAUAGAACACCAAUUGCGAAGGCAGCUGACUACGCGAGUAUUGACACUGAGGCACGAAAGCGUGGGGAUCAAACAGG
Molecule: ribosomal RNA, 253 nt
Filed under: uncultured bacterium
Lineage: Bacteria
Description: partial 16S ribosomal RNA
Rfam family: Bacterial small subunit ribosomal RNA
Source: RNAcentral